GGGCUUGUAGCUCAGCCGGUUAGAGCGCUCGCUUCACAUGCGAGAGGUCCACGGUUCGAAUCCGUGCAAGCCCA
Molecule: transfer RNA, 74 nt
Filed under: Candidatus Margulisiibacteriota bacterium
Lineage: Bacteria; Bacillati; Candidatus Margulisiibacteriota
Description: tRNA-Val
Rfam family: tRNA
About the family: Transfer RNA (tRNA) molecules are approximately 80 nucleotides in length. Their secondary structure includes four short double-helical elements and three loops (D, anti-codon, and T loops).
Source: RNAcentral